RNAcentral lists this long non-coding RNA (290 nucleotides) under Helianthus annuus (common sunflower). RNAcentral's name for it is "sRNA HanXRQr2_Chr16g0769111". Lineage: Eukaryota; Viridiplantae; Streptophyta; Magnoliopsida; Asterales; Asteraceae. The record is from RNAcentral.
GGAAAGUGACAUUUAGUGCCGAUGUUAAGAAAACUGAUGCAAAUCCAACACAUAUUAGAAAAAGGAAACAUAAUGAUGAUAAAGAAGAUAAUGAACCAAUUGUGUUGAUGAUUAAGAAAUCACAAAUUAGAAAAAGGAAAAGUAACGUUAACAAUAAAGAUGUGGAGAAUGUAAAAAACACAACAACAGUUGAACAACAAAGCAAAGGUUGAACAAACGGAUAAAGAGGGUGGCAAAGAAGAAAGCAAAUGCUAAAUCAAAAAAAGAGAACAUUUUAAUGGCAUUGCAGU